This is a long non-coding RNA of Chelonia mydas (Green sea turtle), 2548 nucleotides long. RefSeq lists it as uncharacterized. The transcript has 3 exons. Lineage: Eukaryota; Metazoa; Chordata; Testudines; Cheloniidae. The record is from RefSeq and is a predicted model, not a curated record.
AUAUGAGCAACUUCCAUUAACUUUCCAAGGAGGUAUUCACUUCCUGUAGUGGGAAAAGACACCUGCUAAUUGGUAGCACACAGCGAACACCACAAGACUGCAGCUUCAAAUUGUCAGAAGUGGACUGAGCAUGGACUUCCAUUAGAUGAAAUUUUGAAUGACAGAGAAUACUGAUCAAUGAUGAUGAUGCUGCGAAGGAAGAAUGAACAACAUUCUUAUAUAAAGAAGAGAAAUAGAUAUUCUUUGAGGGAAGCAGAGCAGAUGAGAGUGGGAGAUGAAAUGGAGAGCAAAGUAGACAAUGGGGGUUAAACCCUUACCCCACUGAAGACAAAACUCCCAAUGAUUUCAACAUGGCCAGAAUUUCAACUUGUGUUCCAUAAAAACUAAACAUAUUGUACUAAAGACAGCUAAGAAUACUUAAUUUUCCUACGAUUGCUUUUCUAUUUGAGCACUUGCUUAGUUGUCACAAGGAUAUUAUGUAACUUUGAGUAGGAGGGGAAGUGGUGUAUGAGACAAUCUCUUGCAUUGGAUAAGUGUGAGAAUCCUUGCUCAGAGCACUGUUGAUGGGGGGGCGGAGCGUGGGAAGGAGAGAAUGAAGUAUUUCCAAGAAAGAAUAAGCAUUUAGCUUUCAGAAUUAGAGAUGAGUCAGAACUGAAAUGUCCAUUAUGGGAAGGCUUGGAAGGAUUCAAUUUUUAUCAGUAACUGUUGGCAAACAAUCAAUGUCACCAUAUACACACAAACCGAUAAAAAUAUUUCCACUGAUAAUAAUAAAAAUUUACAGUUAGGCAAAGAAAAAAAAAUGCUGCUUGAGAACUAGAGUUUGAUUUAAGCAUAUUUACUGUGUAUAUUUUGACUUGUGAUACUCACACUUUGUGUUUGAAAGGUUUAAUUUUUGAAUCUCAAUGUCUACCGUCAUGAAACAAUUGUUGUCUGACGAAGCAGCCUCAGAUGAAAAGGCAGUGUAAGAAGCACCCUCUGUAGCCUUUCCUAUUAUGAUUCACACAGCUUCCAAGUGUCUCAGAAGUCUUCAAGGAAGAGUAUGGGCCCUCUCUGUUUUCCAGACUCCAGUUCUAGCAGUCUAAAACACAGUAAGUUACCAGGGUGGAAGUUGGGGGAAAACUCCAACUAGGAUUCUGCCUGUGGUGGAGAAGGCAAAGACCAUUGGCGGAGGGAAGUAUUGCUGGCUAUGCUGACUUUAAGAUUGCAUAUAGCCAAAUGUCAUCUUUCAUCAGGUCCCAUAAACAGCUUGACUAUGCACGGAAGCACCAAGAUCAUGAGUCUCCACAGAGAAGCAAGAUCAGCUACUACUCCUAAGAGCUGUACUUGCUAAAAUAUCUCUCAACAAGAUUGGCUCAGCAGUAAGAUAGUCGUUCAGGAGAGUGGAGCCUAAACAUUGAUCUUGUAGGAUCUUAUCCAGUGAUGAGCUUUCUGGAAGCGGACUUCUGUGUCAGUGGAUACUGCCAGUUGCCAGUGUUCUUCUACUGGAAAGAUGUGAGCAGUAGCCAUAAAGCCAUCUCUUCACUCCUGCUCUCUACAAGGGCCCUAGCGAAAAUAAAAGAAUAUGUCUGAAUGAUAGUGGUAGCCCUAUUUGGCCAAGGAGAUUCUGGUUUACAAUGAUAGAGCUAUUCCUUUUUUUUUUUUAAUUUUCUAUUUAACUUUUUUUUCUUUUAAGGUUCAAAACACACAAGAAAAUUUCACCUAAAAUUUCAGAUCUGUAUUUUCAACUUAAGUUAACUGUAACAAAGUUUUUAUCUUGGAAUUAACUUUUAACCUUUUGUUGAGUUUCAGAUGCAAAGAAAAAUUCUUUCAUUCACAACAUCCAAUUGUAUCUCCUGCACCAGUUUACUGAAAUUGUGUGGAUAAAUUUAGGAACCAACCAACUGCAACCAAACAGAUUGGCUUACUAGUAGUAAGUGUGCACAGUCACAACAGUGUUGUAUCUCAGGAGAUUAGAGAGACAAGAUAGGUGAGAUCGUAUCUUUUAUUAGACCAACUUCUGUUGGUGAGAGAGACAAGCUUUUGAGCCUACAUAGCCACCAGAUCUGAUACCUGAAGAAGAGCUCUGUGUAAGCUCGAAAGCAUGUCUCUCUCACCAACAGAAGUUGGUCCAGUAACAGAUAUUAUCUCACCUACCUUAUCUCUCUAAUGGUAAGUAGGUAUUUUGAUUCAAGUUCACAUUUUAAUAAAUAGAUUUAAAUAUAUUUUAAAAUCUCCAGGAGACAUCUGUUUUCUGUUUAUUAUACACAUGACAUAGCAAGCUUUUCUAGAGGCGAAAAUGACAUGUUGUAAACCUAAAUCUGUCUAAUUUUAUUUCUAAGGUUUAGUGCUGAAAUGAAGCUCACUACAUAAUAUAACAAUAUCCUGUUUUUGUUUUUAAUCUUCUCUUCAUAAUAGUUUCUCCUUGACACCAGGACAGAAAAUUAUAUGGGGAACAAAAUAAUAUUGAAAUAUAAAGUAUAGGACAUAAACUUGAAUCAAGAUAUAUAUAUUUUUCAAGAUAUAUAUUGGGGCAUUUUUUAUUCUGACAUCAUGUCACCAUUCGCUUUAU